AUUUCGAGCAUGACUUCAUUGGCGUCAGCAACGUUUUGCUGUUCGGGUUUAGCCGCCAUGUUUAAGUUGGCCGGGUUUCGCACCACUGAGGUCAUGGAUACUCAGGCCUCUUUGCGUGUUUCUUCAACACUGCUUCUAAGGUUAACCGCGUUACAUUUGUUGGAGAAAAUCCUGGGAACGCUGAAAAGGACUAGUGGGUGGGGUGCGAGGGUGGGGUCUUGCCCGAAUUAAAGAUGGCCGCAGUCAGCUCUGCCCCGCGCAAUUUCACGUCAAGUUUUGGAGCUGCGGGAGCCGGCCAGUUGGCCUCAGCGCCUCCUUACGGAAUUGGCGUAAGGCAAAGAGGCGCGGCUGGAAGAACCAGACUGAGAAAGUGCCACAGGGCGGGGGCCGCAUCCGCCCCUCGGCUUCUGGUUACUGACCCGACGGCUUUGUGAGUGAAAGUGAAGAGACACUUCGAGGAGGUCCUGGAACCAAUCCCCUCUGAUACUGAGAGACAACUAUUACACAAGAGAAAUAUUCUACCAUUCACAAAAUCUCGUUUAAGUGUUGUGAAAUACAAACACCAGGGAAUCAAGAACUUUAGAAAAUUGUGGCUGUGUUCCCAUAUGUGGUACAAAGAACCAGUGAGUCCCAUUUGUUGUGGUUCCUGCAUUCGAUGACUCCAGAUGUGCCACCACCGAGCUAGUCUUAUGACAACCUAGAAGGCAAAUUGGGAGAUAUGAACAAAAACAUUGAAAACAACAUAAAUGCCCUUCAACCAAGGAAUGGAGAAAUCACGACAUGUUAAUCCAAGAAAAUGCUAAGUAGUUGCUAAGGAUUAAUGAGCAUGGAUAAAUCUCAGCAACAUAAUACUGAAGGGAUGGCCCUAUAUUUGUCACUGAGAGCAGAAGGGUUGAGAACUUAGAUCCUGACAGGAGGCCCACCUUUAUUGGAGAAAUGGCUCUGCAACUUAGGACUAUUACAACUUGUAAAAAUUAGUGAGUUAUACGUGGGAAGCAUUUUGGCCUCACAAUUGAGAAGCAGAGAAGUGGUUCAAGGCUCAUGUAAGACUGCUGGGAUUUGAAAUUUAUCCUAUUAUUUGAAGACUGAAAUCAAAAUAUGAAGGUGGAGCAUCAUGUGUGCCUUCUGUCUUGUUCUCUACUAGGGUGUAAACCAUUUAACUAAAAAUAGUCUCCAAUUUGACACCUUCCCAACAUUUCACUAGUAUACUCCAAAUCUCCAUGCAGGGUUACAGACCUAUUUCAGCUGGCUCCAUUUACUCUGAGGCAGAUAAAGCUGAGAUUGCAACAUCAGAAGCAGUUCAACCAAUCAUUAUGUACAAACCUCAGCCCAUUUGUAUAAUGCAAUCCUUCUGGUAGUAAUGACACAAAACAUGCCUAUAGGGACGAUCACAACCCUGUCAAAGUCCCAAGUCAUCUGUGGCACCAGGGCCACAGAACUUCUUACCACUUGGAAGCAAAAUAGUUGCUUUAAUGGUAACCAAAUGCCCUCCUUCAAGACAGUAUUUCAAGAAGGAGGAGUAUACGUAUAUUAUACAAACAUAUCCAAUCCCUUUAGAAGAUAAUUAUCAAUAUCAUGCAGGGAAGCUGGAACACACACACAAAAUCGAGUACUAUCUAGAAGAUCAAGCCACAAAUCUCAAGAGAAGCAGUAAGUGUCCAGGGCCUGGGAUUUUUUAUCUUGGCCGUGAGAAUAGCACAGCCCAUGGUGCAGAAACGACAGGCUAGUUGUCCAGCAUAACAUGGUGUUUUAUUUCACCAUAGUAGACUGCUGGGAAAUCUCUGGAGGCCUUGGCAGCUGUGUCUUGUCUUUAAUAUGAAGCCUGGGGGGGAAGACAGAGAGAGAGACUCAUAAUUCACAAGAGGCCCAGCCGUAAGAAAGCCAUUCUAAAUAACUGAAUCAGGCACCGAGGAGGAGCGACUAUUCCAUUCCUAAGUCAAGAAUGCUUUUUGUCUUUCCUUCUCUCCUAAUUGGCUCAUGAAAAGAUCAUUUAUGUGUGGUAGAAUCAGUACAUCAGAGGCAGCUUCUGUUUCUCUCCAUUUCUCCUCCCCACUGCUGCUGUCCUGUAAAAAGACCCUUUGUUACAGACUGAAACAGCAGAUGCAGCUCAGAUAUUAUCUUGAAUAAUUUUGUGGGGAGCAUUUUAUCUUGAAUUGGUGUAAUGCCAUUUUCACGUGGAAAGUGGUUCUAUGUCUGAUCCAAAUGUUCUAGAAACUUGAGAGACCCAUAUGGCAAAGAAGUACUUUACACACAUAUCUCUUUAAAGUAGUGCAGGGUAUGGGAAGAACUGAUAAUGCUGAUUAAAUGAUAUGUAGACGAAAUGAAUGUAAACUGGCAUCAUGGGCUGAGUGAGUCAGGGGAGGCCUUGUGGAAGAGAUAAGAGUAAUAGAAAAUGCUAGGUCAAGUAUGUGUAGAGGCCUGGAGAGAGGAAUGGACUUAGUGGGUCCAAAAGUAAGAAGACUUGUUUGUUGUGAAUACAGAGUUAGAAGUAGGUAGAAGAAAAAGUUGGUCGGGUCCUGCAGAGAUUAAAAAUCCGGUUUAAGAUUUUAGAUUGUUUCAAUCAUCAAUUAGUUGGUGUCUGUGUUCAUUGUGGAAAUGCUUUAAAUAUAGAUAACAAAAAGGAUAAUAACUUACAAUCCUACCAGUCGUAGGAUGAUGAUGGCAGACAAUGUGGUGCACAUUCUUUCAUAUAUUUUAUUGUCCUAGUUUAAGGUUCCCUAUAGGCAGAUCCUGAGAUGAAGAUUUAAAUGCACACCACUUAUUGAGGAGGUGAUUUCAGGAAACACCGGCAGGAGAGUGGGGCAGUAUGACAGGGAAAGAAAGGAAGCAAAAAAAUAAAGGGCAUGUUCUCAAAGGAAUCAGUUGGAGAGCAGUCAUGCUGGAGACACUGGAAGAGAGUAUAGAAGAUGUCUCAAUGUAGUCCUGCCUAGGGAUCAGGAAGUCGAAGUAUUUAUCCACUAAUUCUUGUCAAUUGAGAAUUUAUUUGAGGGGCAUUAACUCUCCAAAACGGUCUCCCUGUGCCGGAAAAAUAACCCUAAGCAGAAUGUUGUAGGUAUUUGCAGCAAAUAGCCCUCAGUGUGUCCUGAGGAUUGGUGUAGUACAUAAAUAUACAAAAUUAUUUUUAUUUAUAAAAAAGCUUUCUAUGCAUCAGGCUCUGUACUGUGUGUUUUACUUGCAUUCACUCAAAAUAGUUCUCACAGAAGCCCUAUGAGGUCGGCGCUACUCUUAUCCCCUGAGGAUUAGAGGCUGGGAGAAGUAUAUAUGAGAGUCAUAUGGAGAUUAAAUACCUGAAGUCAUGAGGAGAUGAUGCACUCUCCAAGAGAGCUUUGAUGACAGCCUAUUUAUGCAGCUUCUGUCAUCUGUACACAUUCUCCUCUUUCUGUCAACAAAGAGUUUUUCUUUUGCAAUUGUAAAUGUCCUCUGUUUUCAGAGACUUUUGUUGGAAAACAAAACAAAAUCUUGAGACAUGAAGGAUCUGUAAUGGACACCUGUCGAUUGUGUCUGUUCAGCAGCUCCUCUCCCACCUGUCUUCCAGUACAACACCUUAUUUCAUUGGAGAGAAAGGUUCUACCUCUUCUCCUUAAGGUUUUAGUGGACAGCCAAACCAGUCUUCAGUCUACAGGGUGAGUAUGAGAUCCAGGCUUGACCAACCAUAGUCACCACCCACUUGGCUACAUCAAAUUGAGCCAGAAAGAGCCUUUCCCUGGGAAUUUAUAUGUAGACUUUGGGAAAAGGAAGCUUUCUUCUCUGAUGUUACUAGACAGCGAUGACAAAACCAGUGCUUGUCUGGACCAUGCUCCACUUCCUCUCCACAGCAAGAUGAGCAAGCUCAUCUGUAGUAGGAAAGAAUGUAGGAAUGCAUCCCCUGCACAGAGAAAAGCGGAGGAGAGAAUGAGAGAGAGAGAGAGAGAGAGAGAGAGAGAGAGAGAGAGAGAGAGAUCUGACUGUACUGCUAAGUCCCUGCAAUCCCCACCAAGGUCUGCAAGGUCUACUUCCCCUAGACUACAACUACCCAUUACUUGUGCCAAAUAUUCAAUAAAUCGUAACCUUAGCAGGGAGAGGGAUGAAGAGAGAUUGAUUAAUGGGUAUGUAUAUACAGUAUGAUAGAAGAAAUAAGACCUAGUAUUUCAUCAGUCAGUAGUAUGACUAUAGUUUACAAUAAUCUAUUGUAUAUUUCAAUAUAGCUAGAAGAGAAGAAUUAGAAUGUUUCUAGCAUAAAGAAAACACAAAUAUUUAAGGUGAUGGGAAUCUCAGUUACACUGAUUUUAUCUUUACAAGGCAUAUGAAUGUUUUAAAUUGUCAUAGUACCCCCAAAAUAUGUACAUGUUAUGUAUCAAUAAAACACAAAAUUAAAAAAUAAAUAUUUAAACAAUCAUAACCUUACUCCUUCCUUCCUUCCUUUCUUCCUUCUAUUUCUUUCUUUCUUAUUUCUUUGUUUAUAACUGGUUCAACUUGGGUUUCUGUUUCUUGCAACCAUAGUCUUGACUAAUUCAGGACCAAGUGCACUCUUAAUCAUGAAGUAUAUCUGUGGCCCUUAAGUUAUAUAUUGGAGUAAGAGAGCAGGGGGUGGAGAGAAUCAAAUUAUGACAGGACAGAAAUGGCCUUUUUCCAUCUAUCACAAUUUUAUUUGCCUCCAUGAUUAUCAGGUCGAUUCCAACUCUUUGAGGCAUGAAGGACCAGGAAGGAGGCAUCUGCCUUUAGGAAAUGCUGAACUGCAAUAGCAACAUGAAGCAUGGUUUCCUAUUGACUGCUGCCUUUGACCUGCAGCCAUUGAUGGCAUUCAUCAAUCAAAGUCUAACCAAUUGGGACUAUCAGACUUUUCCCUCCUACUCACACAACUCAAGGACAUGGAGAACUCUGGUUUUAGGGGGUGUAAGCUGAUGGUUCCAUGAGUUCUAACCUGUGGCUUAGCCAGUCUUUGGCUUGUAUAAGCCUCUAAAGGUUCAGCAGAUCUAAAAUCUUAGCGUGAUUGUAUUAACCUGAAAGCUAUAAGACACCCUUGAAAUAAUAGUUGCCCUUAAUUAAGCACUAUGUAUCUGGACUUUGUGUGUGCUGCCACAAUGCAAUCCUCACAGAAUCCUGCAAAGUAGGUAUUAUUGCCCUUUUAUGAAUGAAGACCUUGAAAUUCAGAGAGGUUAGCAGCCAUCAGCCCCUCAAACCCAGGCCUGUAAGACUGAAGGCUUUACUCUCAGGAUAUGCAACGAGGCUAUACAUUUAAUCCUAAACUCCCAAGCACAACUUUUAGAAGGGCUCUCUAGCCCUUUGUUAUUUAAGUCAGUGAUUCUUAAACAGGAUAUGGAAACCCCCAUUGGGUGGAUUUGUGUAUCAACUCAGCUAAACUAAAACUAUGGCACCCAAAAUUCCCUUCUCUGCCUUAGCCUCCUAAAGUGCUGAGAUUAUAGGUGUGAGCCACCAUACCUAGCUUUGUGUGAGAUUUAGAAAGCAAAAGUAAAGCAGUGAAGUAGCAGACAUACAUUUUUUACACCUGAAAGGUUGGUGCAGGUCACAGGUGCUGUUGCAUCUCAUUCAUGUUGUUCCUUACCUGUUGACUUGCAUUGUGGUGUGGAACAGUAGCCACGCCUGCAACUUCUCCAGCCUCUCUGACUUCCAGACCCAACAUGUCCUCCAUGACGAAGGACACCAGCUUCUCCUAGAGAGUACCUGACCAUUGAAGUUGGCAGCUUGAAAGCAGUAGGAUAUGAAUGCAGAUUCCAGUCCGUCCUCGUGGGUUCCAGUUUGCCUGUUUCCCCAACUUCACAGACAUCUCUCUUUCCCAAAUGCCUUCUCUGAGGAUUUCAGGCUUCAGCACCAAACACAGAUGCGAUGGCCUCACACAGAGUAAGUAACAAGCUCCCCCAAAUGAAUAAGAUCAAAUCCCUAUAAUAAAUGCCCUACUAUAUCAAUCUAUCUACCUGUCUGUCUAUCUAUCUGUCUAUCUAUCUACCUACCUACCUACCUACCUACCUACCUACCUACCUACCUACCUAUCUAUCUCCUAGUAUUCUACUUCUCUAAUUGAACCUUGACUGAUCUCCUACACCUUUGGUAAGUGAAGACUUUAAGACUACAGAUAAUUUUAAGGAGACCAUUUCCUAGAUCUUCCA
Molecule: long non-coding RNA, 6104 nt
Filed under: Homo sapiens (human)
Lineage: Eukaryota; Metazoa; Chordata; Mammalia; Primates; Hominidae
Description: non-protein coding SEPT7-AS1:10
Source: RNAcentral